AUGCUUGGCAAUAAUCCCAAUAGUUAAAAAGGAUAUUGUAACAAGGGAAAAUUUUAAGAUCUUCUGAAAAAUUUAGAUUGUCGUUAAGAUCAUAUUCCCAAUCACAUGUUGCAGUGAUUUUAUGGAUUUUGAAGGUGGAAUAAGCAGCAUCAGUGUGGUUUUCGUUUAGAUAAAAAUGUUUGAAGGACACUGAAUCUGUAAUUUCCAAAAUGGUUUGAAAAAAUAACACAGUUUUAUCUGUAUUAUGUGGUUUAAAGAAACUGUUUUUGCCAAAAUAUUUUUCGAUUGUUAAAAACGGAUCAUUGUUUACAAAAAAAUCCCUUUUUGAUAUUUAUAAUAUUUCAGUAUGUGUGUUUUUCAAAAUACUCCGAUGGAGCGGUUUGGAAAAUCUUCUUCAAAAUAAUUUGUGAAUUAUUUGAAGGUUUUGAAACAAUUUUUGAGGUCUGGUUUUCUCUUGAAAUCAUUUUUGAAGGGACCUCGU
RNAcentral lists this long non-coding RNA (481 nucleotides) under Brassica napus (rape). RNAcentral's name for it is "long non-coding RNA (BNAP_LNC001567)". The record is from RNAcentral. Lineage: Eukaryota; Viridiplantae; Streptophyta; Magnoliopsida; Brassicales; Brassicaceae.